Molecule: ribosomal RNA, 492 nt
Filed under: uncultured bacterium
Lineage: Bacteria
Description: partial 16S ribosomal RNA
Rfam family: Bacterial small subunit ribosomal RNA
Source: RNAcentral
AGUGAACGCUGGCGGUAUGCCUAACACAUGCAAGUCGAACGGCAGCACAGUAAGAGCUUGCUCUUACGUGUGUCGAGUGGCGGACGGUUGAGUAAUACACCGGAAUCUACUUUUUCGUGGGGGAUAACGUAGGGAAACUUACUCUAAUACCGCAUACGACCUACGUGUGAAAGCAGGGGAUCUUCUGACCUUUCGCGAUUGAAUGAGCCGAUGUCGGAUUAGAUAGUUGGCGGGGUAAAGGCCCACCAAGGCGACGAUCCGUAGCUGGUCUGAGAGGAUGAUCCGACAGACUGGAACUGAGAAACGGUAGCGACUCCUACGGGAGGAAGCAGUGGGGACUAUUGGACGAUGGGCGAGAGGCUGAUACUGCAAUACCGCGUGAGUGAAGAAGGAGUUAGGGUUGUAAAGCCCUUUUGUCGGGAAAGAAAAGAAGCAGGUUAAUACCGCGCUGUAAUGACAGUACCCAAAGAAUAAGCACCGGCUAACUUCGUG